Long non-coding RNA from Psammomys obesus (fat sand rat), 602 nucleotides. RefSeq lists it as uncharacterized. NCBI's taxonomy places the organism in Eukaryota, Metazoa, Chordata, Mammalia, Rodentia, Muridae. The transcript has 3 exons. The record is from RefSeq and is a predicted model, not a curated record.
UUUAGUUCAUUAUUGUCAUGGCGGGAAGCAUGGUGACAUGCAGGCAGACAUGGUGCUGGAAAGGCAGCUCUACAUCCGGAUCGGCAGGCAGCAGGAAGAGACAGUGACAUACUUCCUCCAAGAAGGUCAAACCUAUUCCAACAAGAUGCUCCAAUCCCAUGGCCUAUUUCUGCAGACAUCUACUCCUUAGCAGCUAGGAGAAUCGGGGAAGCUGUAUUAUGGACGGAAGAGAAAUAUCACCAGCAAUUUGGCAACUGAGUGAAGACUGGCCACCUCUAAACGUUUAUGUGACUUCAUUUGUUUUAUGAAAUGAAAGGUUAUGUGUGAGGACGUAUAUACCAGGAGCCAGAACACAGUUUGAUGAAGGGAAAAAGUUAACAUUUGGAUUAAAAGCUCAUCUCAACUACAAGAUAUUAAAUAUGACUCUGUGCUGCCUGCUAACGCCUAAGCGUCUGUCAGCCCCAAAUCCCGCAAUCCAGAAUUCUGAGUGGUCUAAGCUGUUGCUCCGAGAAGGACACCGGAAGGUGAAGGUCAGCCUCUCUCCUCAGCCGUGAGUUACGUUGGCCUCUCUCCUUCUUCCAUCAUUUGGAAGAAAUGGAAAC